UGCUAAUGUAUAAUAUUAAUAGAAUUGGGAUAUACUCGUAUGUAUAACACAGUGCAGUGCAAAAUAUAAUGCUGUAAUUAGUCUUGCCGUCUGUGUUGGAUCUUUAUUAAGUAGACACAAUAAUUUAGCAAAGCAGUACUUAUCUGUGUACAUCCGUCGACCGAUUAUCUCAUACGUUAUUGCAAAUGUUUGUUAUAGUCCAACUAUAUGAGGAGUGAGUAUAUAUGUAUAUACUAACAAGCCAUUUCAAUGCUGUUAAGUAUAAUUAAUACAGUGUCUUGGAAUAGUUCACACACACAAAAAGUUUCAAUAGACUAUUAUGAGCCCCGCAGUUAUCACUAUAUUCAUCUUAUUAAAUAUUAAAUAAUCAUGUAAUGUCGAAAAACGAACUUAACAAAAAGACAUUCUAUAAAUAAAACUAUAUGCAUAAAACGAAAAGAAAUUAAUAUAAAAAACAUUAAUUAACACAAUCAUAAAAUUAC
RNAcentral lists this unclassified non-coding RNA (482 nucleotides) under Melitaea cinxia (Glanville fritillary). RNAcentral's name for it is "misc RNA ENSMCXG00005001612.1". The record is from RNAcentral. Lineage: Eukaryota; Metazoa; Arthropoda; Insecta; Lepidoptera; Nymphalidae.